Molecule: ribosomal RNA, 424 nt
Filed under: uncultured bacterium
Lineage: Bacteria
Description: bacterial SSU rRNA
Rfam family: Bacterial small subunit ribosomal RNA
Source: RNAcentral
GGGGAAUAUUGCACAAUGGGCGAAAGUCUGACGGAGCAACGCCGCGUGAGUGAUGAAGGUUUUCGGAUCGUAAAGCUCUGUUGCCAGGGAAGAACGUCCGUUAGAGUAACUGCUAACGGAGUGACGGUACCUGAGAAGAAAGCCCCGGCUAACUACGUGCCAGCAGCCGCGGUAAUACGUAGGGGGCGAGCGUUGUCCGGAAUUAUUGGGCGUAAAGCGCGCGCAGGCGGCUGUUUAAGUCUGGUGUUUAAUCCUGGGGCUCAACCCCGGGUCGCACUGGAAACUGGGCAGCUUGAGUGCAGAAGAGGAGAGUGGAAUUCCACGUGUAGCGGUGAAAUGCGUAGAGAUGUGGAGGAACACCAGUGGCGAAGGCGACUCUCUGGGCUGUAACUGACGCUGAGGCGCGAAAGCGUGGGGAGCAAAC